UCGAUCCCUGCCUAGGUCG
RNAcentral lists this unclassified non-coding RNA (19 nucleotides) under Chlamydomonas reinhardtii. Its description in RNAcentral is "small RNA Cre_2651". Lineage: Eukaryota; Viridiplantae; Chlorophyta; Chlorophyceae; Chlamydomonadales; Chlamydomonadaceae. The record is from RNAcentral.